This 1070-nucleotide long non-coding RNA is filed under the name Malus domestica (apple). RNAcentral describes it as "long non-coding RNA (MDOM_LNC002591)". The record is from RNAcentral. Lineage: Eukaryota; Viridiplantae; Streptophyta; Magnoliopsida; Rosales; Rosaceae.
CUUGCACGCCCACUCAUAGAAUUUUCCCAAAAGCCUCACUCUACCCCAAGAGUUCUUUCACUAGAAUAUUUUUCACUUUAACUCUCUUGAUUUUCUAUCAACCCAUGUUCAACAUUUCCCAUGGAAGAGGCGGAUGCUCUCCCCUUGGAUGCUUCUAUGAUGUUUACAUUCCCACUUUCUAAGCAUUACUAAAUGCACAAAUAUUGCAUCUACUUAUAGGCAUACACUAGCAACUAUGCCAACAACCAAAACAAAAAAGUCUUAAGUUCACAUAAUAUAAUUAUUACCUAGCCUACCUAGCAUGCACCAAAGUCUAUACCUAGUCUAUAAAGUACAAUUUUCUCCAUUUGUCAUUUAAUGCGUAGAAGAGAAAACAUGCACAAUUGUGUGCAAGCAAACACAAGGUCAAGUCUUGCUUGCUUCUAACUUUGCUUGUGGCAGUCACCAUGUCUUCAAUUGUUGUCAACACAUGACUCAUAAUUACUUACAAAUGUAUGAGCCAAACACAACACGAUGGAUGGGGCAUCAGUUGUUUUUUCUUCGGCAAAUGCAACAAAUUCAUAGAAAUCUUUGCAUCAAUAAGCAUCUAACAUAUUCGUACUUUCUUGCAGUAGCAGAAAACAGUUAUGCACUUUCACCAUGGAGCAUGUUUGAUCCCUACCAAUUCUUUUCCUCCUAACAACUAUCUAUUUAACCCAUUAACGUUAUCGUUUGUCAAAAUAAAAAAUAAAAAAAAGCAUCAAACAUAUUGCUCAAGAAUGAUGAAAUCAGAAGAUUCAUAAUUCAUUGCAUCAACCUUCAGUAGUUUAGAUGAACCCUUGAACAUUCUUUAUACAAUGCUCUACGAAUUCAUGAGGAAGAUGACACAAGAAACCUACUCAUAGUUCUCCAGGAUCUACAGAGAGAUCGGGUAGAAUAUUACGUCCAUGUUCAGGUGAGGUAGUUGAUGAAUUCCGCAGCGGUCGCAAUGGCACCUCCUGUAAUUGCAUCCACCAGAACUUUAUCUUUGUUCUCUUUGCUGGCUGCAGAUACUAGAGCCCCUGUCAAUGCACCCCCGAGCAAUGCAUUUC